Molecule: ribosomal RNA, 407 nt
Filed under: uncultured bacterium
Lineage: Bacteria
Description: partial 16S ribosomal RNA
Rfam family: Bacterial small subunit ribosomal RNA
Source: RNAcentral
AUUGAACGCUGGCGGCAGGCCUAACACAUGCAAGUCGAGCGGAGCGGCGGACGGGUGAGUAAUGCAUAGGAAUGUGCCUAGUAGCGGGGGAUAACGUCGGGAAAGGGGCGCUAAUACCGCAUACUAUCAGAUGAGCCUAGGUCGGAUUAGCUAGUUGGUGGGGUAAAGGCCUACCAAGGCGACGAUCCGUAGCUGGUCUGAGAGGAUGAUCAGUCACACUGGGACUGAGACACGGUCCAGACUCCUACGGGAGGCAGCAGUGGGGAAUAUUGGACAAUGGGCGAAAGCCUGAUCCAGCCAUGCCGCGUGUGUGAAGAAGGUCUUCGGAUUGUAAAGCACUUUAAGUUGGGAGGCGUUACCAACAGAAUAAGCACCGGCUAACUUCGUGCCAGCAGCCGCGGUAAUAC